AUUGAACGCUGGCGGCAUGCUUUACACAUGCAAGUCGAACGGUAACAGGUUAAGCUGACGAGUGGCGAACGGGUGAGUAAUGCAUCGGAACGUGCCCGAUCGUGGGGGAUAACGCAGCGAAAGCUGCGCUAAUACCGCAUACGAUCUGAGGAUGAAAGCGGGGGACCGUAAGGCCUCGCGCGAUCGGAGCGGCCGAUGUCAGAUUAGGUAGUUGGUGGGGUAAAGGCUCACCAAGCCGACGAUCUGUAGCUGGUCUGAGAGGACGACCAGCCACACUGGGACUGAGACAAGGCCCAGACUCCUACGGGAGGCAGCAGUGGGGAAUUUUGGACAAUGGGCGCAAGCCUGAUCCAGCAAUGCCGCGUGCAGGAAGAAGGCCUUCGGGUUGUAAACUGCUUUUGUACGGAGCGAAAAGGCUCUCUCUAAUACAGGGGGCUCAUGACGGUACCGUAAGAAUAAGCACCGGCUAACUACGUGCCAGCAGCCGCAGUAA
This 493-nucleotide ribosomal RNA is filed under the name uncultured bacterium. RNAcentral describes it as "partial 16S ribosomal RNA". It matches the Rfam family "Bacterial small subunit ribosomal RNA", at positions 29 to 523 of the family's 1533-position model. The record is from RNAcentral.